UCAAUCACCAGCCUCCUCCCCAUCUCAACUCCCAUGGCUUCUUCUCCCCGCCGACAACCGAACCACCACCAAUCACCGCCUCUUCUUCAACCUCGCCGACAACAGAACCUACAAUUUCCCUCUCGUCGAAUCUCGCCGCACUCCUCACUCCCAAAGACAUCGAAACCCUAACCUUGACCAUUCCUCUGGCGCGCUCCUCGGUCCCUCUCCCUCCGCUGCCAUUGACGGAGAUCGGCGCGCAUGUGCUCGGAAAAGCCAAGGUUCUUGAUUCCAAUCACGUUGCUGUUAUUUUCCCACAUGGUAGUGAUAUACUCCUCUGUAGGCUCUUAAAAACAUUGCGGGUAUUCCAUUGGUUGAAGGGCUUAGUGUUUGUGAUUACCUCGUUGAGUCUCCGCAGGGGGAGUUGUUGUUGGUGUGGAGGAAAGGUGAGAGGAAGAUAUUUGAAUUGUUUCGGUUGGAUGCGAGUGGACGGAAAAAAGUUUGGAUUGAGAUGACUAAUAUAGGGGACAAUGUGGUGUUUGUGGAUGGUAUUCAAGCUAUGUUUUUUUGUGCUGGAGAUUUGGAGGGCUGUAGAGGGAAUUGCAUUUAUUUUGUGGAUGGUUAACCCUGGUGGUUUACAAAAUAAAGGGCUUAAGGUCUUUGACAUGGAUAAUGGUCGGUUUGAAGAUGACCCGUUAUUUUCCUUUUUUUUUCCUCGAGGGCAUUGGGGAAAGGCUUUGUGGGUAGUUCCAAGUCUUGGUUAGAGAUUUUUGCUGAAGCUCCUUGAGGUCGUCCCUUCAAUUUGAAACGGAAUCCGGAGUUGUUCGUUUUUCUUCAUCAGAUAAUUUAAGAAACCAAGAAGACUCAUGGUGGAGAUAAGAGAAAGAUCGUUGGACAUCUUCAUUUUGUAUGGAAAAAAUGUGUACUUGGUCUUAGUUUAGUUUGUAAAUAAGAUUUAUACGGUUAAUAUGUAAUUAAGAUUUAUAGAACGAUGUGAAUGCUCAAUUUGUGGAGCAAAAUUUAGGGUUGGGUGGUCUAAAGGUCAAUUUCAUGAAGAUUCACUGGAGAAAGUAUUGCUAUUUGCAGACGGUGAUAAGAUUCAAUCGACAAACAAAGAAACUGAAUGAGGAAGAAGACUGAGAUGUUAUGCUCGAA
Long non-coding RNA from Asparagus officinalis (garden asparagus), 1134 nucleotides. RefSeq lists it as uncharacterized. NCBI's taxonomy places the organism in Eukaryota, Viridiplantae, Streptophyta, Magnoliopsida, Asparagales, Asparagaceae. The record is from RefSeq and is a predicted model, not a curated record. The transcript is spliced from 3 exons.